ACGCUGGAGUCAGACCCAUCCCGGCUCCGUUCUACUUUCUGCAGACUGUGGUCACCGAAGGCAGUGAAUGAGGGGACUGGAGGCUGGGGUCGAGCCCCAGCUCUGGGGUCAGGUCUCUGACAAGUGUGGUAUGUGACAGGGCCUGCCCAGUGGGUGAGGGAAGUGAGGCACCGUCGACUGGCUUGGGGCUGCGAUACCCACAGCCCCACUGCCCAGUGAGGGGGGAGGCAUGAAUUCCGCGAACCCCUUCCAGCUCUGAUGUUCCGUCCGCAGCAGCCAAGCAGCUGCGGAGGACCAGGAGGAUUCAACCAGCUCCUGUGGCUUCCAAAAGCCAAACGAGGACCUAUGGCUAGAAGUUACAGAAGUGCCCGCUCGGGUCCCCAUGGAAGGAAAGCUAUGUGCGAGGGGGUCUUCUCAGGAGUGAGCCAGCCCUUCAGUUAGUGAGUUCCCUGUCUUUCGGAGGCAUCCAAGUGAGGCCGGAAGAGGCUAGUCAUUUCUAGCUCUGUGCCCAACUGUCAGGAUGCCUUGUCAUUUUCUGAGGAUGUGUCUUCUUCCCGGUCCUAUCGGGUCUGGAGACAGAGGCAGGGAGAAGCCGACAGACUAGCAUAGUUCCAGCAGGGUUCAUUGGUAGCGCCUCCCAUAGCCAAGCAGGUGGGAGAAGGUGGCCCGUGCCUCCCCUCAGAGAGGCCCCUGCUCAUGUCACGUCGACCUUCAGUUCGGUUCAUAUGCUCUCUGAGCCAUACUCUGCUCACCUGUACCCCGGGGUCAUAAUCGGCCCCUGCUUCGUACGGUGACCAAAACAAUGCUUCCGGAGAGCUUUCGGUAAAUAUCACACGCCAAGUGUGAUCUCUUUAUUCCUGGACAAAAUGGAAACACCAGGACAACCACCAAAUCCAGAGUCCCUGGGAGGGGUUACUGCCGCCAGCUGGCUUGGAGGCAGAGACACCACAUGCAGGUCCAAACGCUCUCGGCCUCAAAGAGCGGAACAAAUCCCACAGGGGUAUUGAUUGAAACCAUUACGGAUUCGUGGAGACAACACGCCGGCCGGGAAUGGAGUCAGCUGCCGCUGCCUAUUUCCAUAAGGGAUUACCGUGUAAUUGAGAGGGGAAGACCGCUAAUGGCAGAGGCAAAGGCCAAUGCAGCCCCCACGCUCUUGGCUGCACAGCAAGGCUGAGACGCUGAAGGAGAAUCAUUCGUGAGAGGCUCUGCAAGGAAAAGUUCACCAGUACAAAGCCCAGGGAGCGGAUCCAAGGAGAAGCGGGAAAGAAUCCAUUGGGUGACUAUUUACUGAGUGCUUACUACAUGCGCCUGGCACGAGAGGGAGGACACGACAGGAACUACCCCCAUUGGCCAUCGACAGGGCGCCAUGAUGGAUUGAAACAAGAGAAUGACGGGGCCAGUUUUCUGCUUGAGAAAGCUCACUCUGGCUGUAAUAUGGGGAAUGGAUUGGAAGGGGCGAGAGUGGGGACUGGGGGAUGAUUUAGGAGGGCGCUGCCGUGACAAGUCUGAAUGAGUGGUGGCCUGAACCAAUAUAUAAUAUUAGUAGACAGGGAGAAGAGAGAUCGUCCAGAUGUAUUAAGAAGGGAAGGACCGACGGGCUGGUAAUGAAUGGAUGUGAUAAUAUAGAAGGAGUCCAGAAUGAUGGCCAGGGUUCUGGCUGUAGCAACCUGUGUGGGUGACGGUACCCUCCAUAAGACCGGGGGAUGUUCAGCUUAGUCCUUGCGGGAUUACAUUUAAGAAACCUACAAGACACCCCAAUGGAGACCUCAGUGGACAGCUAGUCAGGAGAGUGAUCUGAGCCGGAAUGGGGAUUGGGAAGUUGCCGAGAGGAAAGGGAUCCUUGAAGCUGGGGAUGGGGGGUGGGGGGUGAGAGAGCCCAGGAAAAGUAAAAGGAAGAAGGGAGGUCCAAGAAGAAGGUGGGGGGAGAUAUGGAUGCUUAAGGAGCAGGCCGAGGAAAGGGGCUAAUGGGAAGGUUUGAGGAGGAGGGCCAGAUAGAGCGUGAGGUGCUGGUAGGGCCCCUUAUGAGCAGAGGUGGGUGUUUGCAGAACACUUGGACAGGUCAUGGUUGCUGUCAGUGGACAGCUCUGGGACUAUUGACCUGGAAUGGAAAAGUAAUAGGUAUUUUGAAAAUUGGAGCCCCCCCCAAACCCCAGCCCCACACAUUUAUGAAAUGUUGGAGAGUUUGAAUCAAGGAUCUUCCUUCCACUUGGUGCCUCAAGACCUUGAAUGGGUAGGCUGACAUUUUUGAACCUCAGUGUUCUCUUCUGUAAAAUGGGAGAAUAAAACACGACCCUUCAAGGUAGUUGUAGAAACUAAAUGAUAUGGGCUAAGGGAACUUGCCUGGUGUAUUGCAGAUGCCCCACAAAUUCGCACAUGGUUUCCUCCCACACUCUGAGCUACCCAGCCUAGGACAAUGUGAUCAUAAAAGUAGCCCAAGGAUAAAUGGUCUUUAACAUGGGCAGAGUGUGGAGCGUGCCAUGGAGAGAGUGGGAUGCUGGGGUGCAGCUCUGAAUAGUCAUGGAGGCUCCCUAGAAGAGGUGAGUUUCUAGUAGUUUCCGGGAAUGAUGGGGAGUGGCUCAUAGGGCUAGGAGGAGGUGAGUGUUCUCAGGGGAGCCUGAGGUCCCUGGGAGGCAGAUGAGUGGAGAGGAGGGUGUCCUGGCUGGGCCAGGAAUCCAACUGUAGGAGAAUGUGACGAGCUGAAAGGAGAGUGGACGCCCAGCAGUGGACAGUGUCCAGGCUCUACCAUCUCAAGCCCAUGAGGGAGUGAAAUAGAGGAUUCCUGCCUCCAGGGAACUCACUCUGGUAGAAGGCUACAUUUUUCCUUCCUUGUUUACACUUUGGAGUUAUAAAAUUUCACAUCUCUCCCUCCUCCCAAAGCCCCUGGUGCCUAUAAACAAACAUCCCGAUGUACAAAGAUAAAUGGAAAUCAUAAGUCCCCAAGCUUCAGGACCCAAACAAAGAAGAGGAGGGAGGGCAGGGGCUGGGAGGAGGCGGACUUCGAUGAAAUCGAGACCAUGCCAGCCCCGUUCUCUGGUCAUGAUCAAUAUGUUCUCCAAAGUGCCUUUUAAAUUACUGUCGGAGGCAAUGUGCCAUAUUUAUGUAUAUACAUGCUUAGAGGUGACACGGGGGAGAAAUGCAAUUUCUAUUAUGAAAUCAUAAUGUGCAUUUAUCUUCAGGAAUAACACAUCGAAAUGUUGGAGUGAGAAAAGUUGAAAAGCAAUCUGUCUAUAAAUAAAGACCGCAGACAUCCUGA
This is a long non-coding RNA of Leopardus geoffroyi (Geoffroy's cat), 3253 nucleotides long. RefSeq lists it as uncharacterized. Lineage: Eukaryota; Metazoa; Chordata; Mammalia; Carnivora; Felidae. The transcript has 2 exons. The record is from RefSeq and is a predicted model, not a curated record.